This 1302-nucleotide long non-coding RNA is filed under the name Triticum aestivum (bread wheat). Its description in RNAcentral is "long non-coding RNA (TAES_LNC020123)". The record is from RNAcentral. Lineage: Eukaryota; Viridiplantae; Streptophyta; Magnoliopsida; Poales; Poaceae.
UGUAGUAUUUAACAAGUUACAUAUAUAGGUAGAAAUUCCAACAUACACAUCAAGCAGAAAUAAUGAAAGACUAGAUGUUGCUGUACUAAUGAAGCUCUCUGUGCCGGCCGGAGCAGGAAUAGGUGCCUGGUUGGUGGUGGGACGAGAUAACCAGCAGAAGAGAGGGGACAACAUCGGGGAAAAUGUGAGAGACGGGAGGCGUUCCGCCACCGAUUCGGAGGUACUAGUGCGUUCCGGAUCUAGGAGGAAUAUGCCAUUCCUGAGAACGAGUGAGUUCCGAUUCCUCGACCCAACCAAACAGGAGAACGACCUCUAGGGACGAGAUGGGCCCGUUUCCACCUGGUGACACAAACCAAAUACAUCCCGAGUGGACGAAUUCAACGAUUAGUGAGUUUACAGGCCAGUCCUGUCUCCCUCCACCCCACCAGAUUUGAUUCUCAUGUUUUUUUUCUCGCCUGAUAUUAAUUCUCGGUAUUCUCCCUGCCUAUUUUGUUUCAUUCUUGUUCCCAGUGUUCUUACUUCUACUCCCUCCGUUCAUAAAUAAGUGAUGGAGGGACUAUAUAUGUUCCUUGCUGAUGUAACAGAUUAGUUGGUUUUGAUCAAAAUCAAAUGGGAUUCAUCUAGGUUUGAGAGCCGACGGACGUGGCGGCUGCUGCGGCUGGUGGUGCUCUGUGUGUGCAUGGGGUAGCGCGGUCCUCCUGCUCGUCAAGACACUACAACACAGCAGCGUCGACCUCGGCGGCAAGUGCAGCCACUGGCUGCACUACGGCGUGCAAGAAUUCUGUGUCAACGAGAUAUCAGCGUUCCGCUUCCACCCCCUCGAGUAGGCAAUGAUGAAGGUGAGUGUCGGCUCGGUGGGGUUGGCGGAGGGCGUUUAUUCUACGUGUACCUGAACUGCAGCGACAAGUCUAGAGUUUGGGAGUACAACGACAUGAUGAACAUGAACAUUUGAUAGAUAUAGUGUUAAGAUUGCAUGUUUAUUUGCUGAAUUUGGACAAGCCAUCGUAUGUAAUGCAUCAGCUAUACAUACAUGUGUGUUAUCAAUCAAAGCUAAAAUUCAAUGAAAAGUGUGGCACCCUACCUGACACCGCACAAACUUCCUUUCAGAAGGCGUCACCGGGUGACGCCCCAACCACUAGUCCAUCACAAAUAUGGGGAGGAUAUGAGGGCUCGCGGACGCGCCCGAGCACUCCGCCACAUAGGACGCGGCCCCACCCCAGACCACCUUACCUUUUCUUUAUGCAUUCUUUUAUUUCUCUCUUUUCAUCUCUACCAAUCAUGUGCAAAAUGACCGACGAGGAG